Molecule: long non-coding RNA, 4214 nt
Filed under: Homo sapiens (human)
Lineage: Eukaryota; Metazoa; Chordata; Mammalia; Primates; Hominidae
Description: non-protein coding TUG1:62
Rfam family: Taurine upregulated gene 1 conserved region 3 (bases 118-354)
Source: RNAcentral
GCAGCCGGGACGGUAGCUGCGGUGCGGACCGGAGGAGCCAUCUUGUCUCGUCGCCGGGGAGUCAGGCCCCUAAAUCGAAGAAGCCCUGGCGCGCCCUCCCCCCCUCCCGGGUCUGUCCUGUGCCUCCUGAUUGCUGAGUGUUCACCUGGACCUUCUGACUACCUUCCCUGUGCUAUUCCAUCAGCCUACAGACCUGGUACCUGGAUUUUUGCCCGAGAUGAUUCCUACCACCUUACUACUGACGAAGACACCCAUUCCAGUGGACCACUGUGACCCAGGAGGCAUUCAGCCAUCAUGAUGUGGCCUUUACCUCCACUCCUGUCUUGUUCUACCCAGAUUCAGCACAGCCCUUUAUAGUGAAGUCAGAGUCCUCAAGCCAAAUAGCUAAAGCUGUUUUAUCACAACAAAGGCCUAGUUUGUUCCAUGAGUGUGCAUUUCAUUUCUUCAGUUAAAGCCUUCAGAGACACACAAUAAAUUUGGACCAGGGGAUUUUUUAGUUAUUAAUGCUCUCUGAAGAAAGGCAACAUCUUUUUGAGAGCAGCAUUGGACCACACCCCACAAUCUCAAAUGAUUGAAAUUCAUGAACAUCUAGGAUCCCGUGAAGGUCACUGGACCCUGUUUUUUCUACUUCAAAUCCUGUAGUAGCCUACUGAAUGAGAAAACAUAUUCUGACCCAUUGGGAUCAAAUCAAAGGCACAGUGAACUCCUCAUAGCAUCUUCUUUGGAAUUACUCAGGAACCAGAACUUUUUACACAAAUGUAAGAAAUUCUACCAAGGAGUCCCCUUACCUAACAGCAUCUCACAAGGCUGCACCAGAUUCCAGAAAAGGCUUCUCUUGAUACAUCAAGGCUUUGUGGCCAUGAAGCCCUUUGAGUGAAAACUGUGCAGAAGCCCAGAGUAAAAGUGAAGCUGCUCUGGAUGAAGUAGUGAAGCAAGAGUAGGGGCCUGAAUCCUGCUACAACUAUCUUCCUUUACCACCGUGGUGACACCUAAGGGGACUUCCUUACAACACCUUGAACUCUUCCGAACACAGUUUGAAAACCACUGCCCCAGACAGCAAUAUGUUUGACCUGAAUGGCAUUCCAAUCUUUUCUGUACCUCCACUCAGCACAGUUCAUGUUCAGUAGAUGCUGAACAUUCUUAGAAAUACUGUGUGUGAACUUAGAAAAGUGCAAGAAGACAGGCAUGUCUUUGACCCCAGGAAUGAUCAUUUGCUGAAGAUGGUGUCAAGUGAACCUAGAUUAACAGCCCUCCACUCCAGAUGGAUAUCCAGUGAUUCCUAGAAUGGGAUAUAGCCAGAGAACAAUUCUAUGCACCCUACACUGACAGACUCCCUUAAGCAACACCAGAUGCUCUACUGGUACUUGAAGUACAUGACUUUGAAGUCUUGACCCUCCAUGAAUACCUGAAUUAUCAGCAAGCGGGUUUUGAAGCUGGUGCCUCAUUGAGGCCAUAUUAGAGCAACUUGUACAUUUGACCUCUUGUUAUCAGCCAUGGUACUCUACUUCGUGUGCAAGAGAUAACUAUGAAAGCCAAAUUCAAAUACUGGCAACAUUUCCUAAAGGGGCUCAAUAUCUAUCAUUCGUCUUCUUUUCCAAACUACACAUCACUGUAUGACUCAACCAGUAGCAGUUAUAUUGCCCCUUGGUUUUUAUUCAGUUUAACUACUGUUUCCAAGAUAAAUGAGCUAAUAAGCUUUAAAAAAAAAAAAAAAAAAGGCUGAAUUCUUUUUUCUUCAUCACUGGCAUAUCUGCCUAUUCUCCAGAAUUAUUAUGACUAUUCAGCUCACUUUAACAGUUGAACUUCAAGCGACAAUCUUUGAACACCCCUUCUCAUGUGAUUUAAAAUGAAACCAUUUGGAAAAGUUUCUUCUAGCCAGUAAUAGAUUUUUUUUUUAAUUGCUCUGCCUUGUGCCGAGAGAUGUUCUUUUAAGAUGAAUCUUUUGAUGUCUGAUACCACCAAAUAUAGGUGGUAGGGAGAGUUGGAGGCUGGCCCUUUGAGCAGGCCAUUAGCUUACUUGCUGGGCAUUUCCGAUAGCUUAUUGCCUACCUUUUUGCUGGAAACAAACUGAUUUGAAAAACAAAAUCUAUGAAGACUGCAGCUAAGGAUUUUAUCGGUAGACUUAAGAGCUUUUGUCCUUGUGGAUAUUUUAGUGGAACCACAUCAGUCUCAAUACUGUCAUUUUACACUGACUCAGAGCAGCUGACUUCAUUCCUUGCCAUGAUAUAUAUUUAAGGCAGGCAUUGUAACAGACAUAAAGACAACUUAUCUGUUUCAGCAGGAAGGAUUCAGUUUAUGAACUCUCAGACCAGAUCAUGUUGAACAAGGAGACUUUGAUGUGUGUCAUGAGAAAACUCAUUCUUUACUUCCCAGUCAAUUUAAAGGCCAGCUAUCCUGAGCUACUCGAAUGAAUGCACUGGUUAAACAUUGGAAAUAGUUUGUUUAUAUCCUUGUCUCUCUCUAGGCCAAUUGUGAUUACAUGACUCGACUCUACAUCUCGUCAAACAAGGCCUAGGUCUGGUUGCUGUAGACUGCUCGCCCUCAACAAAUAAAAUCUGGUUGACUAGCCUCCUUGUAUAUACAACUAUUAUUUGUUAAGAAGAAAUUAUCGUCAAUUUUCUACUACCUUCCAAUUGUCAGCUCUUUUUUUCCUCUCUGGUUUUUCCUAUACUUUACAGAAAAAGACAUUGAUCUAUACUGCCAUUCCCUCUAAUCCUGCCAUACUCAGUCAAAAGGAAUGACUUAAGAUGAAGAUGAUCAUCUGCUCGAGUCUAAAAUAUACAUUGUAUAUAAGAAUUGGUGAUUAGAAAAGCAAAAAACCUAAAACUUAAAUCUAGGAGUCUGUAUACUGUCUCCAUGUCUCCAUGCCUCAGAUCUCAUCUAAAUCUUUGAACAGCACCAUUCAACCAAUCUGAGGCCUUGACUUGCUUGUAAGAUGAUUCUCAGAGAUCGGCUGAGUUAAAAAAGAUGACGACUUGAUUACCAAAGAAAGUAGGGCCAACUUUGACAAAUCUGGCUCUGCUGACCCUGUCACUCCCAGAUGUAGCAUAGACUCCUAAACAGAACCUCAAGUCUGAUUGAGGAUAAGGCCUUCUCCUGAGCUGAAAGUUCUUUGGCAGAUGAGCAAGAAACUGAAAGCUGAUGUACCUGACUGGCUCUGUAAGAUCAGAAAACUGUAUCCAGAAUAAGCCCUAUGGAUUAACCCCUGAGUACCCAGAGUAAAAACUAAUUUACAGAACUUCCUUAUUGAUCUGCUGGUUCUUCCAGAUCAUAUUCUGGCUAUUGGUAUGGCUGGCCUUUCUGAAGGUACCCUGCUUGUCUAUUUUCCUGACUCAGCUCUUGCCUGCCUUUUUCACAUGUUGCUGCAAUUAGACUCACCGUGAGGACUACAGUCAAUUUCAGUCUAUCUUGUGCCCAAUACAACAAGGAUUUUUAAUAGUAACAACCCACACCUCACCCACUAGGACUCAAUGUUCACAACAGGAAGGACCAUUGCUGCAUACUCCUUGACCAGCAACUUUUUUGAAGAUAUUUUUAAGUGCAGAGUAGGCCUCUAUUCCUGUAUGUAAUUGUUCAUUUUCAGCACCUGGAACCUCAUCUAUCGGGUCUGGAAGGAAUACAGCAGUUCGAAAGCCGCGUCCAUUUCUCUCCUUCAGUAGUGCAGAAAUGAGUCCGAUUCACCAGUACACACAGAACUGUACCAGUUCAACCUAGCAAAAGAAGAAAAGUUUCCACUGUACUUAAAAUUUACAGCUGACUCAAAUUGCCUCACAGAAUUAUUUGAUGUAGAAGGCUAGUUGUCUUACUUCAGAUCAGCAGGACAGUUGGGCUCUCAGACUCAUGACCACUGAGUUUGCUUGUGUUGAAACUGUGGUUUCAUCCAACAUAUGCUAUUGGACAUGAUUAUUAUUCCAUUCAAAUGGAUUACAGACUUCUUGAGGACAGGACAAACUUAUCUCUCAUGGUGUUUUUUUAGAAUACUUUUAUAACCAAGGAAGAAACCAUGCCAGCUGUUACCAUUCAACUUCUUAAGCAGAGAUUAAGCUUUUUCAUAUCUGUUCUUAUCCUGGACAUCAGUAGUUUUUAAUUGCCCAGCAUCCGUUCCAUCUUGUAACAACUCCCUGAUGUUUCUUAAAACCACCUCUUCCUAUUUUCAGUCUGUGGUUUGGACAGUCUGACCCAACCUUGAGCUUUGUGGGUGAACAUGUAAUUCA